This 342-nucleotide unclassified non-coding RNA is filed under the name soil metagenome. Its description in RNAcentral is "partial contains 5.8S ribosomal RNA, internal transcribed spacer 2, and large subunit ribosomal RNA". The stretch from base 3 to 119 matches the Rfam family "5.8S ribosomal RNA", at positions 38 to 154 of the family's 154-position model. The record is from RNAcentral.
GAGAAGAACGUAGCGAAAUGCGAUAAGUAAUGUGAAUUGCAGAAUUCAGUGAAUCAUCGAAUCUUUGAACGCACAUUGCGCCCGCCAGCAUUCUGGCGGGCAUGCCUGUUCGAGCGUCAUUUCAACCCUCGACUUCCCUUUGGGGAAAUCGGCGUUGGGGACCGGCUGUAUACCGCCGGCCCCGAAAUGAAGUGGCGGCCCGUCCGCGGCGACCUCUGCGUAGUAAUCCAACUCGCACCGGAACCCCGACGUGGCCACGCCGUAAAACCCCCGACUUCUGAACGUUGACCUCGGAUCAGGUAGGAAUACCCGCUGAACUUAAGCAUAUCAAUAAGCGGAGGA